GGGAAGUGUGCUACACGGUGAUAGCCUCAGACUGUAAAUCUGACACCUCUGGUUGAAUAGGUUCGACUCCUUUACUUCCCA
Molecule: transfer RNA, 81 nt
Filed under: Crassvirales sp.
Lineage: Duplodnaviria; Heunggongvirae; Uroviricota; Caudoviricetes; Crassvirales
Description: tRNA-Tyr
Rfam family: tRNA
About the family: Transfer RNA (tRNA) molecules are approximately 80 nucleotides in length. Their secondary structure includes four short double-helical elements and three loops (D, anti-codon, and T loops). Further hydrogen bonds mediate the characteristic L-shaped molecular structure. tRNAs have two regions of fundamental functional importance: the anti-codon, which is responsible for specific mRNA codon recognition, and the 3' end, to which the tRNAs corresponding amino acid is attached (by aminoacyl-tRNA synthetases). tRNAs cope with the degeneracy of the genetic code in two manners: having more than one tRNA (with a specific anti-codon) for a particular amino acid; and 'wobble' base-pairing, i.e. permitting non-standard base-pairing at the 3rd anti-codon position.
Source: RNAcentral